GAGGAGGAGUAUGAGAGCUUCUCCUCCGAGCAGGAGGCCAGUGACGACGCCGUGCAGGGGCAGGACUUAGACGAGGACGACUUCGACGUGGGGAAGCCGAAGAAGCAGCGGAGAUCGAUUGUAAGAACGACGUCCAUGACCAGGCAACAGAACUUCAAGCAGAAAGUGGUGGCGCUGCUGCGGAGGUUCAAAGUGUCCGAUGAGGUCCUGGACUCGGAGCAGGACCCUGCGGAGCACAUCCCCGAGGCAGAGGAGGACCUGGAUCUCCUAUAUGACACGCUGGACAUUGAGCACCCCAGCGACAGCGGCCCUGACAUGGAGGAUGACGACAGCGUCCUCAGCACCCCCAAGCCAAAGCUGCGGCCAUACUUUGAAGGCCUGUCGCACUCGAGCUCACAGACGGAGAUUGGGAGCAUCCACAGUGCCCGCAGCCACAAGGAGCCCCCGAGCCCGGCUGACGUGCCAGAGAAGACGCGGUCCCUGGGAGGCAGGCAGCCGAGCGACAGUGUCUCUGACACGGUGGCCCUCGGUGUGCCAGGCCCGAGGGAGCAGCCUGGACAGCCUGAGGACAGCCCCGAGGCUGAGGCCUCCACCCUGGAUGUGUUCACGGAGAGGCUGCCGCCCAGCGGGAGGAUCACCAAGACAGAGUCCCUUGUCAUCCCCUCCACCAGGUCCGAGGGGAAGCAGGCUGGCCGACGGGGCCGGAGCACGUCCUUGAAGGAGCGGCAGGCAGCACGGCCCCAGAAUGAGCGGGCCAACAGCCUGGACAACGAGCGCUGCCCAGACGCCCGGAGCCAGCUACAGAUCCCCAGGAAGACUGUGUAUGACCAGCUCAACCACAUCCUCAUCUCCGACGACCAGCUUCCCGAAAACAUCAUCCUCGUCAACACCUCGGAUUGGCAGGGGCAGUUCCUCUCCGAUGUCCUGCAGAGGCACACGCUCCCCGUGGUGUGCACGUGCUCUCCUGCGGACGUCCAGGCGGCCUUCAGCACCAUCGUCUCGCGAAUACAGAGAUACUGCAACUGCAAUUCCCAGCCCCCGACCCCCGUGAAGAUCGCAGUGGCGGGAGCGCAGCAUUACCUCAGCGCCAUCCUGCGGCUCUUCGUGGAGCAGCUGUCCCACAAGACGCCCGACUGGCUUGGCUACAUGCGCUUCCUGGUCAUCCCGCUGGGUGAGCACCGCGCCGUCCACCUGGGCCUGGGCACAGACGCCACGGGCGGUGUGGCGUGGCAUGGAGUGGUGUGGCGUGGUGUGUUGUGUGGCGUGGCGUCGCGUGGCGCGCUGUGGCGUGGUGUGGUGUCCCUGCUUGCUACACAUUUGUUGUUUUUAAAUGUUUGUUUGAUACAGUAACACUUUGUUAAUUUUAAUUACAUGCAAGAUAACUUGAUUGCCCUAAAACAGCCAUUUGGGUCAAGAUAAAGCCAUCACCCUCUGAAGGGGCCUGAGCUGGGUGUCUUCUCCGUCAGUCGCUGUGAUAACUCUAUGCCAGUUUCGAUUUCCAAAGUCAGAAGUGGAAAGCAGGGCUUGUUAUUAAUCCUCUCAAGUUGUCCAGGUCCUGUGUCGUCGAACUCCAUUACUUCUUUAGGUCCAUACAAUGUGUCUUACCACGAAACAAACCCAUCCAGCCUUAAUCUGUUGACCAGCAGCAAGGCCUGGAGGUGCCACCUCUCCCGUGUGGCCCUCACGAUGCUGACAUCAGAGCCCUGAGCCAGCCAAGGCCUCUGCACUAUCAUAUGUGCCCUGCUGGGCCUUCCUCAGUGGCACUCAAGGCUCUGGGACCUCAGCUCAGGGCUGGAGCUCCUUCAGUGGGGCCACAGGCAUCCACCAGCGAGGGGCAGUGGUGGCAGGAAAGUGGGCUUGUCUGGAAGGCAGCAGCACAGCCCUGGGGUCGGGUGGCCCAGCUUUUGUGCUGCGGUGGGAGCCUUGCAGCUCCGAGUCCCCCGUGGUGACACCAGCCCCACCCCUGGCAUGCAGGCUCCCACCCCGUGGCCAGGUACCUAGGCUCCGUGGACUACCGCUACAACAACUUCUUCCAGGACCUGGCCUGGAGAGACCUGUUCAACAAGCUGGAGGCCCAGAGUGCGGUACAGGACACGCCGGACAUCGUGUCACGCAUCACGCAGUACAUCGCAGGGGCCAACUGUGCCCACCAGCUCCCCAUCGCAGAGGCCAUGCUGACCUACAAGCAGAAGAGCCCUGACGAAGAGUCCUCCCAAAAGUUCAUUCCCUUUGUCGGGGUUGUGAAGGUUGGAAUUGUGGAGCCAUCCUCGGCUACAUCAGGCGACUCGGACGACGCGGCCCCCUCGGGCUCUGGCGCGCUCUCCUCCACCCCGCCGUCCACAUCUCCUGCGGCCAAGGAGGCCUCACCCACCCCGCCCUCCUCCCCGUCGGUGAGCGGAGGCCUGUCCUCCCCCAGCCAGGGUGUCGGCGCCGAGCUGAUGGGGCUGCAGGUGGACUACUGGACGGCAGCACAGCCCGCGGACAGGAAGAGGGACGCCGAGAAGAAGGACCUGCCUGUCACCAAAAACACGCUCAAGUGCACUUUCCGGUCCCUCCAGGUCAGCAGGCUGCCCAGCAGCGGCGAGGCUGCGGCCACGCCCACCAUGUCCAUGACCGUGGUCACCAAGGAGAAGAACAAGAAGGUGAUGUUUCUGCCCAAGAAAGCGAAGGACAAGGACGUGGAGUCUAAGAGCCAGUGCAUUGAGGGCAUCAGCCGGCUCAUCUGCACUGCCAGGCAGCAGCAGAACAUGCUGCGGGUCCUCAUCGACGGUGUGGAGUGCAGCGACGUCAAGUUCUUCCAGCUGGCCGCGCAGUGGUCCUCGCACGUGAAGCACUUCCCCAUCUGCAUCUUCGGACACUCCAAGGCCACCUUCUAGCCCCACCCACCAAGGGGCCCACCUCCUGCCCCAUGCUGUGAGGGGCCCAGCUGCAUUUUUGUUAACAUUUCAGUUUACUACAGAGACAGACCCUUAAAACACAAAGAGAAACAGUCUUAAGUAUGAAUGUGCUCACAACGUGGAAACUAACGGGGGAGCUCCUGCCGGGAGCCGAAUAACUGCUCUGCUUAUUAACCCGAACGUUCGGCCUGGGGCUGGGAAGCCAGAAGGACGGUGCUGAGCCAUGGAUCGCGGAAGGCGUGCUCUGGCCUCAGGAGCCACCCAGAGCCUCACAGGCCGAGUUCUUGCUUCUGUGUCCUGUCCUUCCUGGAAGUCAGGACUCUGCUUCCUCAGGGAGCCUGGGGCAGGCAGAGCUCAGUGGCCACAGGCCAAGGGCCAUGGGGCUGCUCAGUCCCGUUGGGAGUGUCCUGAGUUGAGCCUGGGGGGGGCCAUCCUGCCCGCCUAAGAGAUGCCCCCAGCACCGCACACUCGUGGUUCCCAAUAAACUCCUGCCUGCGGCGGAGGUUUUAUAGCAGCAGAUA
RNAcentral lists this small RNA (3418 nucleotides) under Pongo abelii (Sumatran orangutan). Its description in RNAcentral is "retained intron". The record is from RNAcentral. Lineage: Eukaryota; Metazoa; Chordata; Mammalia; Primates; Hominidae.